GAUACGGGGGGUAGAGGAGGGGGGGUAAGAGGUAGGGGGCAAGGGUUACUCGGAAUUAGUGGGCGUAAAGCGUGGGUAGGUGGUGGUUUAAGUCUGCGUGGAAAGCCCGUGGCUCAACCUGGGAAUUGCAGUGGAUACUGGGUCACUAGAGUGUGGUAGAGGGAUGCGGAAUUUCUGGUGUAGCAGUGAAAUGCGUAGAGAUCAGAAGGAACAUCCGUGGCGAAGGCGGCAUCCUGGGCCAACACUGAAACUGAGGCACGAAAGCGUGGGGAGCAAACAGGAUUAGAUACCCCGGUAGUC
RNAcentral lists this ribosomal RNA (300 nucleotides) under uncultured Enterococcus sp. Its description in RNAcentral is "bacterial SSU rRNA". The stretch from base 52 to 300 matches the Rfam family "Bacterial small subunit ribosomal RNA", at positions 547 to 795 of the family's 1533-position model. The record is from RNAcentral. Lineage: Bacteria; Bacillati; Bacillota; Bacilli; Lactobacillales; Enterococcaceae.